This 392-nucleotide ribosomal RNA is filed under the name Bacillus velezensis. RNAcentral's name for it is "bacterial LSU rRNA". It matches the Rfam family "Bacterial large subunit ribosomal RNA", at positions 2187 to 2578 of the family's 2925-position model. Lineage: Bacteria; Bacillati; Bacillota; Bacilli; Caryophanales; Bacillaceae. The record is from RNAcentral.
CAUCGGUGGGAUACUACCCUGGCUGUAUUGACCUUCUAACCCGCCGCCCUUAUCGGGCGGGGAGACAGUGUCAGGUGGGCAGUUUGACUGGGGCGGUCGCCUCCUAAAAGGUAACGGAGGCGCCCAAAGGUUCCCUCAGAAUGGUUGGAAAUCAUUCGCAGAGUGUAAAGGCACAAGGGAGCUUGACUGCGAGACCUACCAGUCGAGCAGGGACGAAAGUCGGGCUUAGUGAUCCGGUGGUUCCGCAUGGAAGGGCCAUCGCUCAACGGAUAAAAGCUACCCCGGGGAUAACAGGCUUAUCUCCCCCAAGAGUCCACAUCGACGGGGAGGUUUGGCACCUCGAUGUCGGCUCAUCGCAUCCUGGGGCUGUAGUCGGUCCCAAGGGUUGGGCU